This 253-nucleotide ribosomal RNA is filed under the name uncultured bacterium. Its description in RNAcentral is "partial 16S ribosomal RNA". It matches the Rfam family "Bacterial small subunit ribosomal RNA", at positions 524 to 776 of the family's 1533-position model. The record is from RNAcentral.
UACGUAGGGGGCAAGCGUUAUCCGGAUUUACUGGGUGUAAAGGGCGUGUAGCCGGGCUGACAAGUCAGAUGUGAAAUCCCGUGGCUCAACCACGGAACUGCAUUUGAAACUGUCGGUCUUGAGUAUCGGAGAGGCAGGCGGAAUUCCUAGUGUAGCGGUGAAAUGCGUAGAUAUCGCGCAGAACUCCGAUUGCGAAGGCAGCGUACCGGCGCCACACUGACGCUGAGGCACGAAAGCGUGGGUAUCGAACAGG